Molecule: small nucleolar RNA, 138 nt
Organism: Ornithorhynchus anatinus (platypus)
Lineage: Eukaryota; Metazoa; Chordata; Mammalia; Monotremata; Ornithorhynchidae
Source: RefSeq, a predicted model, not a curated record
CCCCUCUCAGGAUGGCACCUGGAGAGCCACCAGUCCUCUACCAGUCUCAGCUACGGGAGGGAGAGUCGAGCGGAGGCAUAUCCAUUCCGUUCCUAGCUUGCCCAGUGGCUGGCGAGUGAAAGACGAUCUGCUACAGGU